UACGUAGGGUGCGAGCGUUGUCCGGAAUUAUUGGGCGUAAAGGGCUCGUAGGCGGUCUGUCGCGUCGGGAGUGAAAACUCAGGGCUUAACCCUGAGCCUGCUUCCGAUACGGGCAGACUAGAGGUAUGCAGGGGAGAACGGAAUUCCUGGUGUAGCGGUGGAAUGCGCAGAUAUCAGGAGGAACACCGGUGGCGGAGGCGGUUCUCUGGGCAUUACCUGACGCUGAGGAGCGAAAGUGUGGGGAGCAAACGGG
This 253-nucleotide ribosomal RNA is filed under the name uncultured bacterium. RNAcentral's name for it is "partial 16S ribosomal RNA". It matches the Rfam family "Bacterial small subunit ribosomal RNA", at positions 524 to 776 of the family's 1533-position model. The record is from RNAcentral.